This 315-nucleotide long non-coding RNA is filed under the name Dromaius novaehollandiae (emu). RNAcentral's name for it is "lncRNA (ENSDNVG00000008849.1)". The record is from RNAcentral. Lineage: Eukaryota; Metazoa; Chordata; Aves; Casuariiformes; Dromaiidae.
CCGCUGCCCGGGAGAAGCAUCUCGCGUUCAGGAGGACGGAGGGCUGCACAGGAUACGCCGGUAUAAAAACAACAUAGCCAAGUGCAGAACACGGAAAACGUCUGCAGCAGAGAGAAAUCGGGUUUCUUCAGCUUCCAUCACUGCGAUGAUAAGAGGUGACGUGGACCUUUCCCCAGCCCUGGCUUUGCACAGAGAACUUCAAGCUGAUGGAAGAAACAAACACUUUUAAUGAAACAUAUGCAAGAUACUUAGGAGGAGAAGAUUCACAAUGCAUCUGCUGCGGGACCAGAAGGCUUAUCAGAAGUGUGAAGUAGG